ACUAGAGUUUGAUCCUGGCUCAGGAUGAACGCUGGCGGCGUGCCUAACACAUGCAAGUCGAGCGAGAAAUUCACAAAUGAAUCUUCGGAGGAAUGCGAGAAUGGAAAGCGGCGGACGGGUGAGUAACGCGUAGGCAACCUGCCCCAUACAGAGGGAUAGCCAUUGGAAACGAUGAUUAAAACCACAUAAAACCGAGGUAUCGCAUGGUACCAUGGUCAAAGAUUUAUCGGUAUGGGAUGGGCCUGCGUCUGAUUAGUUAGUUGGUGAGGUAACGGCUCACCAAGGCGACGAUCAGUAGCCGACCUGAGAGGGUGAACGGCCACAUUGGAACUGAGACACGGUCCAAACUCCUACGGGAGGCAGCAGUGGGGAAUAUUGCACAAUGGGCGAAAGCCUGAUGCAGCAACGCCGCGUGAAGGAAGAAGGUCUUCGGAUCGUAAACUUCUGUCCUAUGGGAAGAAGCAAGUGACGGUACCAUAGGAGGAAGCCCCGGCUAACUACGUGCC
Molecule: ribosomal RNA, 506 nt
Filed under: uncultured bacterium
Lineage: Bacteria
Description: bacterial SSU rRNA
Rfam family: Bacterial small subunit ribosomal RNA
Source: RNAcentral